RNAcentral lists this ribosomal RNA (484 nucleotides) under uncultured bacterium. RNAcentral's name for it is "partial 16S ribosomal RNA". It matches the Rfam family "Bacterial small subunit ribosomal RNA", at positions 30 to 507 of the family's 1533-position model. The record is from RNAcentral.
AUUGAACGCUGGCGGCAGGCCUAACACAUGCAAGUCGAGCGGAUGAAGGGAGCUUGCUCCUGGAUUCAGCGGCGGACGGGCGAGUAAUGCCUAGGAAUCUGCCUGGUAGUUGGGGAUAACGUCAGGAAACGGGCGCUAAUACCGCAUACGUCCUGAGGGAGAAAGUGGGGGAUCUUCGGACCUCACGCUAUCAGAUGAGCCUAGGUCGGAUUAGCUAGUUGGUGGGGUAAAGGCCUACCAAGGCGACGAUCCGUAACUGGUCUGAGAGGAUGAUCAGUCACACUGGAACUGAGACACGGUCCAGACUCCUACGGGAGGCAGCAGUGGGGAAUAUUGGACAAUGGGCGAAAGCCUGAUCCAGCCAUGCCGCGUGUGUGAAGAAGGUCUUCGGAUUGUAAAGCACUUUAAGUUGGGAGGAAGGGCAGUAAGUUAAUACCUUGCUGUUUUGACGUUACCAACAGAAUAAGCACCGGCUAACUUCGUG